This is a non-coding RNA of Callithrix jacchus (white-tufted-ear marmoset), 504 nucleotides long. Lineage: Eukaryota; Metazoa; Chordata; Mammalia; Primates; Cebidae. The record is from RefSeq and is a predicted model, not a curated record.
CUGCCACCAUGUCUCUAGUGAUCCCUGAAAAGUUCCAGGAUAUUUUGCGAGUACUCAACACCAACAUUGAUGGCCGGCGGAAAAUAGCCUUUGCCAUCACUACCAUUAAGGGCGUGGACCGAAGACACGCUCAUGUGGUGUUGAGGAAAGCAGACAUUGCCUUCACCAAGAGGGCAGGAGAACUCACUGAGGAUGAGGUGGAACGUGUGAUCACCAUUAUGCAGAAUCCACGCCAGUACAAGAUCCCAGACUGGUUCUUGAACAGACAGGGAUAUAAAGGACGGAAAAUAUAACCAGGUCCUAGCCAAUGGUCUGGACAACAAGCUCUGUGAAGACCUGGAGCAACUGAAGAAGAUUCGGGCCCAUAGAGGGCUACACCACUUCUGGGGCCUUCGUGUCUGAGGCCAGCAAACCAAGACUACUGGCCGCCAUGGCCGCACCGUGGGUGUGUCCAAGAAGAAAUAAGUCUGUAGGCCUUGUCUGUUAAUAAAUAGCUUAUAUACC